GUUCGCGAUACGCGACUUUCGAAUUAUGGAGGGGUGGAUAAAAUGAGGAUGACAUGUGGGAAGUGCGUGGUGGUUUGUGAAUGCUCCCAUGCAGAUGUAUAUUAGUUUCUUUGAUGGUUCCAAUGCUAUAGCUGCUCAUCUGGAUAAUGAAACAUCACACUGACAGUCAUCAACCCCCCUACAACAGCUACUACUAUGAAGUGCUCAUCUGUGCAGUUAGUGCUUGUGGAGCAUCUCAGAUGGGGACUAGUAGAUUUGUGUCAAUGUGCUGAUUCGGGACUCAGCACGUACUGUUCAGAUUUGGCCAGUGAAAUGAUCUUGAAGGGACAGAAGGUAGGCCUACAUGAAAUUUACAAGUGCAUCAUUCUCAGGGAAUGGAGUUUCACAGGCAUUGCCAGCCAACAACACUGCCGUGGUUGCUGUGUUGAAAAAUAAAUUCUAAGGAAUCGUCAUUUUCUUCUGAUGUUUUGUCAAGUGGCAAGAUGUCCCCUAACAAUGUUUUCAUUUGAAUUGUUUUCAAACCAUUUCGAAUAAACUGGGGAUUUUUUUCUUUGUCCAGUGACUUUCGAGUGCAACGAAAAUGUUUCUUCCUAAGAUAAUCUGCCCAGUCCAGA
Molecule: long non-coding RNA, 614 nt
Organism: Schistocerca cancellata (South American locust)
Lineage: Eukaryota; Metazoa; Arthropoda; Insecta; Orthoptera; Acrididae
Exons: 3
Source: RefSeq, a predicted model, not a curated record